This is a non-coding RNA of Mycena belliarum, 94 nucleotides long. The record is from the annotation of a GenBank genome assembly. Lineage: Eukaryota; Fungi; Basidiomycota; Agaricomycetes; Agaricales; Mycenaceae.
GGCUCGGUGGCGGACGGUCCGCGCCUGUCCAAUCUACCAAUGAGUACCAGCGCUAGUAGCACAGGAGACACCCGUUCGACUCGGGUUCGAGCCA